This is a long non-coding RNA of Cyprinus carpio carpio, 299 nucleotides long. Lineage: Eukaryota; Metazoa; Chordata; Actinopteri; Cypriniformes; Cyprinidae. The record is from Ensembl.
AGAAGUCGCCUGUAUCAAUUAAUUCACGGUUAAAGAGUACAUUGCUGUGAAAUUCAAUCAACUGUUUGAUUUUGAGAACUGCUUUGGUUUCCAUUGAGGAUGGUCCAGCUCGCUGUGCGUCCAGGACUUGGAGAGACACUCGAGCAGAAUUAAACUGGCUGCGGGUUCUUGGAAAUCCACCAGAGAACAACUGGCACCGAACGCUCUCCUCAAGGUGAUGAACAUGCCUGGUGGGACCACCUUGAAAUGCCACACACCAUAACGGUUUGAGUAGAGGCCAAACAGACGACCACAGUAGG